This 497-nucleotide ribosomal RNA is filed under the name uncultured bacterium. Its description in RNAcentral is "partial 16S ribosomal RNA". It matches the Rfam family "Bacterial small subunit ribosomal RNA", at positions 28 to 507 of the family's 1533-position model. The record is from RNAcentral.
GACGAACGCUGGCGGCGUGCCUAACACAUGCAAGUCGAACGAACAGACCAGGUUCUUGCUCCUCUGACUUUGUCGCCGGACGGGUGAGUAACACGUGGAUAACCUACCUAUAAUACUGGGAUAACUUCGGGAAACCGGGUCUAAUACCGGAGAAUUUAUUGCACCGCAUGGUGCAAUAGUGAAAGACGGUUUUUCGUUGAGUUAUAGAUGGAUCUGGGCCGCAUUAGCUGGUUGGUAAUGUAACGGCUUAGCACGGCGACGACGGGUAGCCGUCCUGAGAGGGGGGUCGGCGACACUGGAGGUGAGGCGCGGCCCCGACUCCUACGGGAGGCAGCAGUAGGGAAUCUUACGGGAUGGGGGAAAGCCUGCCGGAGCAGCGCCGCGUGAGGGCUGAAGGUCUUCGGAUCGUAGAACUCUGUUAUUGGGGGAGAACAAAUGCGUACGUAACUAUGCAGGUCUUGACGGUACCGGGUCAGAAAGCCCCGGCUAACUACGUG